This 446-nucleotide ribosomal RNA is filed under the name uncultured bacterium. Its description in RNAcentral is "partial 16S ribosomal RNA". It matches the Rfam family "Bacterial small subunit ribosomal RNA", at positions 338 to 795 of the family's 1533-position model. The record is from RNAcentral.
CCUACGGGAGGCUGCAGUCGAGAAUCAUUCACAAUGGGGGAAACCCUGAUGGUGCGACGCCGCGUGAGGGAAUGAAGGUCUUCGGAUUGUAAACCCCUGUCGUGUGGGAGCAAAUUAAAAAGAUAGUACCACAAGAAGAAGAGACGGCUAACUCUGUGCCAGCAGCCGCGGUACUGAAGAGGUCUCAAGCGUUGUUCGGAAUCACUGGGCGUAAGGGGUUCGUAGGCUGUUUCGUAAGUCGUGAGUGAAAGGCGCGGGCUCAACCCGCGGACGGCACAUGAUACUGCGAGACUAGAGUGAUGGAGAGGGAACCGGAAUUCUCGGUGUAGCAGUGAAAUGCGUAGAUAUCGAGAGGAACACUAGUGGCGAAGGCGGGUUCCUGGACAUUAACUGACGCUGAGGCACGAAGGCCAGGGGAGCGAAAGGGAUUAGAUACCCGAGUAGUC